GGACCGGACCGGUACGUACCGGCCCGUACCGGCCGGUACGGGCCGGUACGGCAUUCCAUGGUUGGACCCUAUGCUGCAGCAAAAGUCCGAACCUUUUGGGCAAUGAUGACAGCAUCCUUACUCAUUCCGGUGAUAGCCUUCAAAUAAACUAUUACAACUCAUGGUCAUCUCAUCUUAUAGGGGCUAGAUUCGUGAUUUUCUGUGGAAAUUGUCUUCGAUAAAUCCUAACCAUUGAUGUCUCUUUAGCAAGCAUAUUUGAUUGGUGGAACAGCAUGCUCAAGUCGAAAAACUGUUCGAUUGCAGUAUUUCUUGAAGUUUGUAAGUAUAUUUUGAUUUAUUUGCCAACAAUUUGUCAGAGUAUUACUUUUAUUGCUUAAGGCUGUGAUUUCUUGAAUCAGAUUAACUUUUUGGUCUGUUAUUGACGUUGAACAAGCAUCAAUAGUGCUGGACACCAAUUUUUAGACUAGUAUACUAGAUUAAAUUAUCCAUUUGUUGCUGACCUGUUCUGACCAAAUCUUGAUUUGAAAGCAUUGGUAGGUUGUGAGUUGAGAGGGUACCCUCUGAGUCAUAUUCGGAUUUGCAGUAAACCUUAUUUAUUUAUUGCAGUAGACCUGUUUAUCUAAUGCCGCAGAUUAUGUUAACUUUUCAUGUAAGACAUAAGGUUCAAAAUGGUACUUAUAAUGGUUCCAAGAAUUAGGAGCAUGGGCGGGCAUACAAUGUGAUGGAUAAUCGCCUUCUCAAAGAGCUGGUUCUUAUAUGUUGGUAAACAAGGCUCAGCCUUCCACCUCUCCUUUCUCCUAGCUUUCUACUUGAGAGAGGAGGUGAGCAUCUAUAGUGAUUUCUCAGUUACCUUUCAAGCAUUGUUCCUUCUCCUUUUCUUCUUCGCUUUUUUGUGUACGGAUUUAUUUUUGUAUGAAUAUUCAUGCAACAAGGGUGACUUCUAAAAAUUGUUCUUCUCUUCUUUGCAUGCCAUCUUCUCUAGCAAUAGGCGAGACAUAUGUGGAAGGUCUGCUACAUUGCUGGCACCUGAGCUGCAUUCAUUGUAAGUUGGAGAGGUCAUCACCAUCGGAGAAGAGGCGCGGGGAUCUUCUCCUCUUUUUUGUGUGCAUGUAUAUUAAUGAGAUGAUGGGCAAGUUGUGAAAUUACUCUUCUUCUCUUCUUUGCGUGUCAGCUUCUCUAGCAAUAGGCGAGGAACUUCUGGAAGUGAAUUCAUAGGAUUUGGAGGCUCAUGAUAGUUUCAAGAUAAAGAUGGUAUCGAUAAAGGGGCUUGAUUCGUGAUUUUCUGUGGAAGCUGUCCUCGAUAAAUCCUAACCAUUGAUGUCUCUUUAGCAAGCAUAUCUGAUUGGUGGAACAGCGUGCUCAGGCGAGGCAUUUUUGGAAGGUCUACUACACUGCUGACAACCAAUCUGCAUUCAUUCUUCUCUAGCAAUUGGCGGGGAACAUCUGGAAGUGGCGAAUUUGAGCCUCUUUUUCCUUUUCCCAUUUUGCCUUCUAAUUUCUUGUUUUUUGAAGAUUAUAUUUUUUUUAAGGCAUCUUUAAUUACAAAACUGUAAUUAAAUUUCUUCUGAUGUGUUUUUUCUGCUGUUCCUGAAGAAUUCAUAUGAUUUGGAGGCUGAUGAUAGUUUCGAGAUAAAGAUGGUAUCAAUAAAGGUAUCUGCCCUUGCUUAUACUUUUGUAGAAUGGGAGGCACCAUCAACUGACUGCUUUUGCCUCCAUAAUAUUGUGUAAUAAUUGUAAAGUAACUGGUUGACAUGAAAUGGCGACCAGUGUUGGUCAGACUUA
This is a non-coding RNA of Phoenix dactylifera (date palm), 1782 nucleotides long. The record is from RefSeq and is a predicted model, not a curated record. NCBI's taxonomy places the organism in Eukaryota, Viridiplantae, Streptophyta, Magnoliopsida, Arecales, Arecaceae.